UACAGAGGUCUCAAGCGUUGUUCGGAAUCACUGGGCGUAAAGGGUGCGUAGGCCGCACGGUAAGUCAGAUGUGAAAUCUCAGGGCUCAACUCUGAAAUUGCAUCCGAUACUGCCGUGCUUGAGGACUGGAGAGGAGUCUGGAAUUCAUGGUGUAGCAGUGAAAUGCGCAGAUAUCAGGAGGAACACCAGUGGCGAAGGCGGUGCUCUGGGCCGGAACUGACGCUGAGGAGCGAAAGCGUGGGGAGCAAACAGG
RNAcentral lists this ribosomal RNA (253 nucleotides) under uncultured bacterium. RNAcentral's name for it is "partial 16S ribosomal RNA". It matches the Rfam family "Bacterial small subunit ribosomal RNA", at positions 524 to 776 of the family's 1533-position model. The record is from RNAcentral.